AGUGAACGCUGGCGGUAGGCCUAACACAUGCAAGUCGAACGGCAGCACAGUAAGAGCUUGCUCUUACGGGUGGCGAGUGGCGGACGGGUGAGGAAUACAUCGGAAUCUACUUUUUCGUGGGGGAUAACGUAGGGAAACUUACGCUAAUACCGCAUACGACCUACGGGUGAAAGCAGUGGAUCUUCGGACCUUGCGCGAUUGAAUGAGCCGAUGUCGGAUUAGCUAGUUGGCGGGGUAAAGGCCCACCAAGGCGACGAUCCGUAGCUGGUCUGAGAGGAUGAUCAGCCACACUGGAACUGAGACACGGUCCAGACUCCUACGGGAGGCAGUAGUGGGGAAUAUUGGACAAUGGGCGCAAGCCUGAUCCAGCCAUACCGCGUGAGUGAAGAAGGCCUUCGGGUUGUAAAGCCCUUUUGUUGGGAAAGAAAAGCAGCAGGUUAAUACCCCGCUGUUCUGACGGUACCCAAAGAAUAAGCACCGGCUAACUUCGUG
Molecule: ribosomal RNA, 492 nt
Filed under: uncultured bacterium
Lineage: Bacteria
Description: partial 16S ribosomal RNA
Rfam family: Bacterial small subunit ribosomal RNA
Source: RNAcentral